AGGGAAUAGAUACCCAGGUAGUCCCAGCUGUAAACGAUGCAGGCUAGGUGUUUGGACGGCCACGUGCCGUUCUAGUGCCGCAGGGAAGCUGUUAAGCCUGCCGCCUGGGGAGUACGAUCGCAAGAUUGAAACUUAAAGGAAUUGGCGGGGGAGCACCACAAGGGGUGAAGCUUGCGGUUUAAUUGGAGUCAACGCCGGAAAUCUCACCGGGAGCGACAGCAGUGUGAAGGCCAGAUUAAAGGUCUUGCCAGACGAGCUGAGAGGAGGUGCAUGGCCGUCGCCAGUUCGUGCCGUGAGGUGUCCUGUUAAGUCAGGCAACGAUCGAGACCCGCAUCCUCUGUUGCAACCAGUUUUGCGCUGGGCACACUGAGGAGACCGCCACUGAUAAAGUGGAGGAAGGAGCGGGCCACGGCAGGUCAGUAUGCCCCGAAUCUCCCGGGCCACACGCGAGCUGCAAUGGCAGGUACAAUGGGUUCCGACCUCGAAAGGGGAAGGCAAUCUCGAAAACCUGCCGUAGUU
RNAcentral lists this ribosomal RNA (519 nucleotides) under uncultured bacterium. RNAcentral describes it as "bacterial SSU rRNA". It matches the Rfam family "Archaeal small subunit ribosomal RNA", at positions 724 to 1249 of the family's 1478-position model. The record is from RNAcentral.